GGCUAAUGCUGGCGGCGUGUCUUAGCCAUGCAAGUCGAGCGGACUUAUGGGGUAACUUAUAAGUCAGCGGCGGACGGCGGAGUAACACGUAGCUAACCUACCCUCUGGACGGGGAUAACCUACCGAAAGGUGGGCUAAUACCCGAUGUAGUCAUCCUGUAUAGGGGUGAUGAAAGGUGGGCUUCUGUUUACAAGCUCAUGCUGGAGGAGGGGGCUGCGGCCUAUCAGGUAGUUGGUAGGGUAAUAGCCUACCAAGCCGAUGACGGGUAGCCGGCCUGAGAGGGUGACCGGCCCGAGGGGCACUGAGAUACGGGUCCCACUCCUACGGGAGGCAGCAGGCUAGAAAUUUGGGCAAUGGGGGAAACCCUGACCCAGUGACGCCGCGUGCAGGAAGGAGCCCUUCGGGGUGUAAACUGCUGUCGUGUAGGGAGAAGGGCACUAAGGUGAACAAUCUUAGUACUUGACGGUACUACAGGAGGAAGCCCAGGCUAACCUCGUGCCAGCAGCCGCGGUAAAG
This 516-nucleotide ribosomal RNA is filed under the name uncultured bacterium. RNAcentral's name for it is "bacterial SSU rRNA". It matches the Rfam family "Bacterial small subunit ribosomal RNA", at positions 28 to 525 of the family's 1533-position model. The record is from RNAcentral.